GACGAACGCUGGCGGCGUGCCUAAUACAUGCAAGUAGAACGCUAAAGGAGGAGCUUGCUUCUCUGGAUGAGUUGCGAACGGGUGAGUAACGCGUAGGUAACCUGCCUGGUAGCGGGGGAUAACUAUUGGAAACGAUAGCUAAUACCGCAUAAUAGUAGUUGUUGCAUGACAACUGUUUGAAAGGUGCAAUUGCAUCACUACCAGAUGGACCUGCGUUGUAUUAGCUAGUUGGUGGGGUAACGGCUCACCAAGGCGACGAUACAUAGCCGACCUGAGAGGGUGAUCGGCCACACUGGGACUGAGACACGGCCCAGACUCCUACGGGAGGCAGCAGUAGGGAAUCUUCGGCAAUGGACGGAAGUCUGACCGAGCAACGCCGCGUGAGUGAAGAAGGUUUUCGGAUCGUAAAGCUCUGUUGUAAGAGAAGAACGAGUGUGAGAGUGGAAAGUUCACACUGAGACGGACUAACCAGAAAGGACGCA
Molecule: ribosomal RNA, 482 nt
Filed under: Streptococcus mitis
Lineage: Bacteria; Bacillati; Bacillota; Bacilli; Lactobacillales; Streptococcaceae
Description: bacterial SSU rRNA
Rfam family: Bacterial small subunit ribosomal RNA
Source: RNAcentral